RNAcentral lists this ribosomal RNA (420 nucleotides) under uncultured bacterium. RNAcentral describes it as "bacterial SSU rRNA". It matches the Rfam family "Bacterial small subunit ribosomal RNA", at positions 338 to 774 of the family's 1533-position model. The record is from RNAcentral.
CCUACGGGUGGCUGCAAUUAGGAAUCUUGCGCAAUGGGCGAAAGCCUGACGCAGCGACGUCGCGUGAAGGAUGAAAUCUUUCGGGAUGUAAACUUCUUUUACCAAGGAAGAAUAAUGACGGUACUUGGUGAAUAAGCCCCGGCUAACUACGUGCCAGCAGCCGCGGUAAUACGUAGGGGGCGAGCGUUGUCCGAAGUUACUGGGCGUAAAGAGCGCGUAGGCGGGUUCUUAAGUGAGGGGUGAAAGUCCGAGGCUCAACCUCGGAACUGCCUUUCAUACUGGGGACCUUGAGUGCGGGAGAGGCGAGUGGAAUGGUCGGUGUAGCGGUGAAAUGCGUAGAUAUCGAUCGGAACACCCAUGGCGAAGGCAGCUCGCUGGCCUGUAACUGACGCUGAGGCGCGAAAGCGUGGGGAGCAAACA